UUCUUAUCCAGAGAGACUGAGGGAACUGGUCCUAUGACGUCUCGGCAACGGACUCCAAUGAGCACCGUGCCACUUCCAACAAGCGUUUGCGCUUGAUAGAUGAGAA
This 106-nucleotide non-coding RNA is filed under the name Priestia koreensis. Its description in RNAcentral is "Bacillus koreensis SAM-I sequence". It matches the Rfam family "SAM riboswitch aptamer (S box leader)". Rfam says of the family: The SAM riboswitch is found upstream of a number of genes which code for proteins involved in methionine or cysteine biosynthesis in Gram-positive bacteria. The SAM riboswitch acts at the level of transcription termination control. Lineage: Bacteria; Bacillati; Bacillota; Bacilli; Caryophanales; Bacillaceae. The record is from Rfam by way of RNAcentral.